RNAcentral lists this ribosomal RNA (253 nucleotides) under uncultured bacterium. RNAcentral describes it as "partial 16S ribosomal RNA". It matches the Rfam family "Bacterial small subunit ribosomal RNA", at positions 524 to 776 of the family's 1533-position model. The record is from RNAcentral.
UACGUAGGCAGCAAGCGUUGUUCGGAGUUACUGGGCGUAAAGGGUGCGUAGGCGGCUUUUUAAGUUUGGUGUGAAAUCUCCCGGCUCAACCGGGAGGGUGCGCCGAAUACUGAGAGGCUAGAGUGUGGGAGAGGAAAGUGGAAUUCCUGGUGUAGCGGUGAAAUGCGUAGAUAUCAGGAGGAACACCGGUGGUGUAAACGGCUUUCCGGACCAUAACUGACGCUGAGGCACGAAAGCGUGGGUAGCAAACAGG